GCAGGCGAGGGACUAAAACUAUGGACUCCAUUGUUUAAAUAGGAACGGCUUACCACCACACUACAAGAACUCAUGUGAUGUCUAAUGAACUUUUGUUAUUUAGCCUUGUUAACACCUUCAAAUAUUUACGUUGAAACACCACUAUGGUUGGCAAGACAAAAAAGCCUAUGAAAACAUGGUAUCGCAUAUAUUAGAAUAAUCCGGCAAAAAAAUACAAAAAAAAUUGAAAUCAUAGUAUGUCAGAAGUUGCAAAUCACGCAUUUUUUCGCGCAAAUAUCGCGCGCUUCGUAGCCGGUGGGAUUUGAACUCAAACCUCACCGUCACGUCACGCAUAAGCAUAACCUCCUCUACCACUCUACUCAUCACUAACUUAUGUCUAUAUUUGAGUUUAAUUCCCCCAU
RNAcentral lists this long non-coding RNA (401 nucleotides) under Sorghum bicolor (sorghum). RNAcentral describes it as "long non-coding RNA (SBIC_LNC009347)". Lineage: Eukaryota; Viridiplantae; Streptophyta; Magnoliopsida; Poales; Poaceae. The record is from RNAcentral.